GCGGGCGGAAGGGUAUCGAAUGUUGCGCGGCAUAAGGGCGACGUUACGCAUCUUGCAUCUUACAUUCGUUUUUCGAGGAGGCUCGAGGUACCUCGACAAGUAUCGACUAUCUUGGCUCGGGCUACUUUGCCGCUCCUCUCUAUUAGCGUAAUAAAAUGCAGCUUUAAUAAAUGUACGUGCGAUCAGAUUACCCAUUUCUUCUUGUCAUAAUUAUCUCAACACGAAGAUCUCGGUGUUCUCGGCGUAAAGUAGACCUCGAGAGUGAAAGAGUUACGUCUUGACCUUGCCACACCAAAAUUUUACGACGAUCCACGCCUCGAGGCCAGCGAGACGAUGUGCUCCGCAUAUCUAGCCUAUCAUCUCUCAAAUCUGCGAAACCUUGAGAAAUAUCUCGGCAGACGCAUCUAUUUAAAAUUGCAAACCGGUGGCCCCAGCGAUGGAAUCUGUCGAAAAAGGCAUAAAGCAACCGGAAUAUGUCGCACAAAAGCCCCUAAAGAAGGUCAACCGGACUCAAGGGUCAAGCGAAGUCAACCGAUGCGAUUUGGUUUAUGGCGCGAGCUUCUACCCCCUUCCCUCCCGUAUUAUUGUAUUUUCGACGAUGAUUUACGAUAGGAGAGAGAGCCGUGCAUUUGUAUUUCCUUCUAAUUUUUUUUCUUUUUCCCCUCCCCGUGCUCGGCAACGUGCCGCGCCCGACAGCAAUGCAGCGAUGCGUCGCGGGACGUCAUCAGCAAUACUCCGAAAUUUCCGGAGUUGACAGCCACUUUCGUCAGCGUCAUUCAAAAAGGCAGCUCUUUUUAUCGAAUAUAAAGCAAUAAACAAACCUAAAACUGUAUAAACAAUUGUGUUUUAAUUCUGUGUUUUAAUUUAUUGAAUAUAAAAGAGCAAUACGUCAAAACGCUUAAAAUAAUGAGUUUUAAUUUUUUUGCUUUCAAUUGUUAUAUUUCUGUUAUUUGAAUAUACAA
This 962-nucleotide unclassified non-coding RNA is filed under the name Pogonomyrmex barbatus (red harvester ant). Its description in RNAcentral is "uncharacterized LOC105423807, transcript variant X2". The record is from RNAcentral. Lineage: Eukaryota; Metazoa; Arthropoda; Insecta; Hymenoptera; Formicidae.